Molecule: long non-coding RNA, 1444 nt
Organism: Oncorhynchus tshawytscha (Chinook salmon)
Lineage: Eukaryota; Metazoa; Chordata; Actinopteri; Salmoniformes; Salmonidae
Exons: 2
Source: RefSeq, a predicted model, not a curated record
UAGCUAGUUACAUGUUUCAGGGUUUUGUGAAUAUAAUGGGGAGAGAUAGGAACAAUAUGCUAUAUGGGCGAGUAUAUUGAAAACUGAUUAGAUAAUGUUGACUUGUUAUCUGAAGACUAGCUAGCAGAAGCCAUAUUGCAUGAUUGAUUUUAUUUAUUUUAUUAUGGUGACAUGCAUCUUCUCACGGAUCCCCAGCCCACAUGAGCUUAUAAAACACUAUUUGCUGUAGCAAAGUAAAAUGAUAUAUACACACACAGUGCCUUCAGAAAGUACUCCUAACGUUACCCCUUGACUUAUUCCACAUUUUGUGUUACAGCCUGAAUUCAAAAUUAUUUCAAUUGUUCUCACCCAUCAACACAGAAUACUCCAUAAUGACAAAGUGAAAACAUGUUUUUAGAAAUGAACAAAUGUAUUCAAUUAAAUACAGAUAUCUAAUUUACAUAAGUAUUCCCACCCCCGAGUCAACACAUGUUAGAAUCACCUUUGGCAGUGAUUACCGCUGUCUUUCUGGGUAAAUCUUUCUCUGCAGACAUGGAUUGUACAAUAUUUACAAAUUUUUAAAUUCUUCAAACUUUUAAGUUGGUAAUUGCUAGACAGUCAUUUAAGUAUUGCCAUAUAUUUCCCAGCCGAUUUAAGUCCAAACUGUAAUACGGUUGAUGUCAACACCCCUCAUCGCUGUCUUAAAAUAACGAGAUGUAUCUACUAAUCCAAAGAGGAACAGGCGGGAGCUUGACAGCUAAACAUGGAGGUGUCUUCUCUGCUUACAGAUGUGUGCCAUCAGCUGCGCAGUGCAGUGCACCUUGUCUCCCCGUCUCUUCCGCUUGCAGCAAGAAAGGACCAGUCUUACAUUUUGCUAGUAAAGGCAGGGGGAAAGCAUUGCAGUCUACAAGGUAUGCUAUAGCUGAGUAACUCUGAGUUUUGUGUUUGACUUAAAAAAAAAAAUUAAGAUAAAGAGAGAAACUGCUCUGAUUCUCCUCUGUCUCUGUUGACGGUAUUGAUGGCCGGUGUACCAUUCUGUGGGUGGACGGCCAAGAGAAAUUGAGGCCCCCACGCCCGGACUGAGGGAGGAGGCAGGCGGCAUGGAGGAGGACGUGGAGAGCAACGUCAGCAACAUCAGAACUUUUCUGGAAAAAAAGAAACACACAACUGAAAUUAUGUGACAGAAUUGAUCAAAAAUGGAGAUCGAAAGACACCCACAAGGGGGGAGAUUACAUAAUUCAUGCAGAUCCACAAAAGUGGCAUCCUGACAUUUUACUAAAAGUCAAAUUCAUAAACAUUGUGUAGAUUUGAAUGUGCACUUUCAAUUAAAUUGUACUAUGUUUGAUGAUGCAUGUGUAAAUAAGAAUGGACUAUAACCGUUUUAUAUAAUAUUAUUUUUGUUGGACAAAUAGGAAGUUGAGUAUAUGGAUACAAGUUAUUGUAUUUAAAAAAAAGUGAUAAUAUA